RNAcentral lists this transfer RNA (72 nucleotides) under Ophiophagus hannah (king cobra). It matches the Rfam family "tRNA". Rfam says of the family: Transfer RNA (tRNA) molecules are approximately 80 nucleotides in length. Their secondary structure includes four short double-helical elements and three loops (D, anti-codon, and T loops). Lineage: Eukaryota; Metazoa; Chordata; Lepidosauria; Squamata; Elapidae. The record is from Rfam by way of RNAcentral.
GCCAGUUUGGUCUAGUGGUUAAGGUACCAGUUUAGAAAGCAGGAGAUGUGAGUUCUAGUCUCACCUUAGGCA